GAUGAACGCUGGCGGCGUGCCUAAUACAUGCAAGUCGAGCGAACAGACGAGGAGCUUGCUCCUCUGACGUUAGCGGCGGACGGGUGAGUAACACGUGGAUAACCUACCUAUAAGACUGGGAUAACUUCGGGAAACCGGAGCUAAUACCGGAUAAUAUAUUGAACCGCAUGGUUCAAUAGUGAAAGACGGUUUUGCUGUCACUUAUAGAUGGAUCCGCGCCGCAUUAGCUAGUUGGUAAGGUAACGGCUUACCAAGGCAACGAUGCGUAGCCGACCUGAGAGGGUGAUCGGCCACGCUGGAACUGAGACACGGUCCAGACUCCUACGGGAGGCAGCAGUAGGGAAUCUUCCGCAAUGGGCGAAAGCCUGACGGCGCAACGCCGCGUGAGUGAUGAAGGUCUUCGGAUCGUAAAACUCUGUUAUUAGGGAAGAACAAAUGUGUAAGUAACUAUGCACGUCUUGACGGUACCUAAUCAGAAAGCCACGGCUAACUACGUG
Molecule: ribosomal RNA, 497 nt
Filed under: uncultured bacterium
Lineage: Bacteria
Description: partial 16S ribosomal RNA
Rfam family: Bacterial small subunit ribosomal RNA
Source: RNAcentral